AUGAUCGAUGCGGGAGAGCUCCGGCGAACGCAGCCGGGCACCGAAGGAGCAAGCCUCCCCGCCAAUCUCUCAGGUACGCGUACCGCGUCGAUCGG
This is a non-coding RNA of Microbacterium testaceum StLB037, 95 nucleotides long. The record is from Rfam. NCBI's taxonomy places the organism in Bacteria, Bacillati, Actinomycetota, Actinomycetes, Micrococcales, Microbacteriaceae.